CCCUUAGAUGUUCUGGGCCGCACGCGCGCUACAAUGAUGAAUUCAACGAGUUUAUAACCUUGGUUGAAAAGCCUGGGUAAUCUUUUGAACUUUCGUCGUGAUGGGGCUAGACCCUUGCAAUUAUUGGUCUCCAACGAGGAAUUCCUAGUAAACGCAAGUCAUCAGCUUGCAUUGAUUACGUCCCUGCCCUUUGUACACACCGCCCGUCGUACCUACCGAUUGAAUGGUCCGGUGAAAUCUUCGGAUUGAGACUUUGUUUUCUUCACGGAAAACGCUGUUUUAAAAAGUUGAUUAAACCUUACCAUUUAGAGGAAGGUGAAGUCGUAACA
RNAcentral lists this ribosomal RNA (329 nucleotides) under uncultured eukaryote. Its description in RNAcentral is "partial 18S ribosomal RNA". It matches the Rfam family "Eukaryotic small subunit ribosomal RNA", at positions 1470 to 1796 of the family's 1831-position model. The record is from RNAcentral.